Molecule: ribosomal RNA, 193 nt
Filed under: uncultured bacterium
Lineage: Bacteria
Description: partial 16S ribosomal RNA
Rfam family: Bacterial small subunit ribosomal RNA
Source: RNAcentral
GAAAUUCGCCUUCAUGAAGCUGGAAUUGCUAGUAAUGGCAGGUCAGCAUACUGCCGUGAAUACGUUCCCGGGCCUUGUACACACCGCCCGUCACACCAUGAGAGUUGGAAAUACCCGAAGCCUGUGAGCUAACUUAAAGAGGCAGCAGUCGAAGGUAGAGCCAAUGAUUGGGGUGAAGUCGUAACAAGGUAAC